This 2124-nucleotide long non-coding RNA is filed under the name Daphnia magna. RNAcentral's name for it is "uncharacterized LOC123473905". The record is from RNAcentral. Lineage: Eukaryota; Metazoa; Arthropoda; Branchiopoda; Diplostraca; Daphniidae.
AGCGACAAUAUUUUCGAAUAGUUUAAUCCAGCGGUCAAAACGAGUUGAUGGUCCUCCCGUAAAAUUUUGCAGUUGGAUGAGCAUAGUUUGUGCGCGUUGUCCUUUUUGUAAUUCUUGCAGAUCUCCUAUCGGAAUGACAUUUGUCACCAAUGAAUAUUGAAGUGGAUCCAUUUUUAUUGUUUGUUUUCUGUGGAAUUGCUUGUUGUUUUCUGUUGGCGUCGAUUGCGUGACGGGUGGCGCUGGCUGCUUUGUUUUGAUUGAAGUUGCGUUAAGUCUCCGCGUGGUGGUGUAUGUGGCGUUGUGUGGAAUUUGCUGGCUGUCUCGUUUAUCUGUAGUUGGUUUUGAUUUGUCUCCGCCAGAGGGUGGUUGUGUGUAUGCCUGCUGUGCUGUGAGAAUGGGGCUGAGGCUUUCGCAGCUGCUUUGACUUCUACUGUGUUGUCGGAUGAUAACGUUGUCGUUAAGGUGCGCUGGUCUUCUCGUUUGAUGAGGACUUUUAGCUGCUGUGCCGUGAAUUGUACCGUGUUCAGUAUUGCUUCCGGAAGAUCCGCUAGGUUUUCCAGGUGUGAGAGGAGAUUUAAAACUAGUUGGUGGGUUAGGUCUGGAACGGCUGCAAGGUUGACUAGGCGCCGUAGUAGGGAUGGGAGUUGAAGAAAAUCGUUGAUGAAUGUCGUUGAGUGAGCUGUGCAAAUUUUUUCUACGAGGCCCAAGGAUAGGUGACGGAGAAUGCCGUGAGGGAUUGGAUGCUGUUUCUUCCUGCUGCUCUGCGUCUUCGUUGGAGUCAGCGUCUUGAUGAAUCUCCCCUACUGCCUUGUACAUUAAGGGGCUAUCGUAAGGAACGUGGUUUGUGGCGGUCAUCAGACGAAUAAAGGAGCCAUGAAAUUAUUAAAAGUCACUGCUCAAGAUCCAACUUCUGUCAAAUCAUACUUUCUUCAUCCAAUGGAGCCUGCUAUUAAGAUUUGGUGUUUUUUCGACGUGCCGCAUUUGCUCAAGUGCGUUCGCAAUCAUCUAUUGACUCACCGCCGUUGUCAGGUAAAGAACAAUUAAUUUCCUUCUUGUAUGUUACACAUAUUACAAUUUAAAAAAUGCCUUGUAAAUAGUAUGCGUCGGAAAUAGUAGACGUCUACAACAAGGAGAAGAACAACGGCCUGCGGAUGUGUUUCCGACUAACAGAAGGUCAUCUCAAUCCAAAUAACUGGCAAAAAAUGACUGUUAGUAAAGCUGCCCAGUUGUUUUCCAGACACGUAGCCAUGGCAUUCAAGCAUUACCGGGAAAAACCUGAAACUGCAAUAGAUUUUAAAUGUAAAAAACAUUAUUUGAAAUUAAAUUUAUAACAAAUUCAAUAAACCUUCAUUUUUAGAUACCGCUCCAACUGAACGAAUGACCCUAUUAUUGAAUGACGUUUUCGACAUUCUAAACGGUCGAUUUCCUAAAGAGGGAAUAAGCAAAACAUCUUGGCCGAAGAAGAAAGAUAAGUUACAGAAGAUGUUACUUAUCCUUAACAUAACUGAAGAGAUAGCAAAUGAUCCGGGUCGUGACCGACAUCAAUUGCAGGACAUCAAAGUCAUGUCCGACACUAGUCUGGUUGCCUGGAGACUAGUCAUCCAUAGUGCCAUUGGUUUGGUUGAGGAACUUUCUUCAGCAGGAUUAAACGUGGUGUUGACUGGACGGUUCAAUCAAGAUCCUAUAGAGGUAAAUAUCAAUGUUUUUGUUAUUCAAUAUGUCAAUAAUAAAGUAAUACUUUGUAGAAUUUCUUCGGAAUAGUAAGGUCAAUUGACGACCAUCCAACAGCACAUUCUUGGCUCCAUAUCUUCAGAAUACUUUCCCUCUACAAUCCUACGAAAGUUGCAAUCUGGAAUGCGAAUGUUGACGGGAGGGACGCGGGAGAGGUUUUGGUCGCCUACAAACAAUGCCUGAUAAACAAGUUUCGUGAUUGUGAAACAAAAGCAAAAGAGAUAAAGAAGGAUCUCAAAGACAGUCUACAGAAGGAAUUGCUUUUACGUUACACCAACGACAUACCUGAUUGAAAAUCAGAUGCAACACGAGAUCAGCUAGUGUACGAUCUCUGCGGAUACAUUAUUCGCACACGCUAUGAAGUCUGUGUAACUUGUGAAGCCUGCAAUUACC